GACGAACGCUGGCGGCGUGGAUUAGGCAUGCAAGUCGGACGGUAGGGCUUUAUCGUAAGAUAGAGUUUGAGAGUGGCGAACGGGUGAGUAACACGUAGGAAUCUACCCUUAAGACGGGGACAACCCAGGGAAACUUGGGCUAAUACCGGAUGAGAGUGCGAGAGAUUGCAUUUAAAAGGAUGGCGAAAGUUGUCGCUUAGGGAUGAGCCUGCGGUCUAUUAGUUAGUUGGUGAGGUAAGAGCUCACCAAGGCGAUGAUAGAUAGGCGGCCUUAACGGGUGGUCGCCCACACUGGGAUUGAGAUACGGCCCAGACUCCUACGGGAGGCAGCAGUCGAGAAUAGUCUACAAUGGCCGGAAGGCUGAUAGUGCGACGCCGCGUGAACGAGGGGAGCCCUUCGGGUGUAAAGUUCUUUUCUUAUACGAGCAGUGCUAUAUAUAUGGAUAGUAUAUAUAGAGGGAGUAGUAGUAUAGGAAUAAGCAACGGCUAACUCCGUCGCCAGCACG
RNAcentral lists this ribosomal RNA (505 nucleotides) under uncultured bacterium. RNAcentral describes it as "bacterial SSU rRNA". It matches the Rfam family "Bacterial small subunit ribosomal RNA", at positions 28 to 515 of the family's 1533-position model. The record is from RNAcentral.